This 1053-nucleotide long non-coding RNA is filed under the name Heterocephalus glaber (naked mole-rat). Its description in RNAcentral is "lncRNA (ENSHGLG00100034127.1)". Lineage: Eukaryota; Metazoa; Chordata; Mammalia; Rodentia; Bathyergidae. The record is from RNAcentral.
GCCUAAAUAAGCUAAAAGGUGUCACUGCAGCUGGAUUUUGACAGAAAACAUAAUAGGCUAUGCUUCAUAAAAAUAAUGGCACCUUAGGAUUGCACUAUUUUGUUCAUUAUUUUAUAUGCCAUUUCAUAGCCUGCACUUUAAUCUCCAAAGAAACUAUGUAUGAUGUCCCAGUUGUUUCUUAUUAUUAAUAAACUUGUUCCUAGCAGGGCACUUAGUUCUAUUUUAUUAUGCUGAACUGGUUUCCUGGAAAGUGGAUUCCUUUCCUGAGUUCCCUUAUUUCCGUAGCUGUGAUAUUUUCUAGGACUUGGGAACCCCUUUCAUCUGUUUCCAGCAGUAUAUGAUUUGAUGUAGUGUAAUGUAAACCUCAUCCUCGGUGAUCAGCACAUGCUUAGAUCCUCUUCUGUAGUGAGCACCAGUUUGUUCUGAAAUUGAUGCUGUGCGUGAGAUUCGAAGGCAGGAGGGGACAGAAGGCAUCUUGAGACGUCCUGCGGCAGCAGUUACUGGGAAAAGGCUGGUUCUGUAGGAAAACCAGCUCUUUGGCUGGGGGUCUGUCUGAAUUUCUUUACCUGGUACACAGAAGGCUAAUGGCCUGCCAUCUGCAGUAAAUUACUUUCCAAAGUCCUGAGCCUGCAGAAGGAGACUUAGUACUGGGUUGGCCAGUGCCUGCUGUGCUCUCACUUGGAGUAACAGUAGUUAUAUAGGUGUCAGGCCUCUUGCAACUUUCCAAGAAUCUUGGUUCAAUUUCUGAAAUUCAGAAGUUACGUCCAAAGUUUUCCUGUUGUGUCUGAAGGAAACCAUGAGGUUUGGAAUCUUAGCAGUAACCUCUGUAUCAGAUAUGUUGCCAAAGCCUGGCGGACCAUACCUAAACCACCAAAAGUUGAGACGUGUCUAGCAUUCCUUGCUGUGCUGCCGUUUGUUUACCUGUGCUUAUGAGCAACAAUAAAACACUAGUUUACCUUCUGGAAUUUAAUUGUUUUGACUGAUCGAUUGGAAAAUGAAAAGCACCUCCCAGUUACACAACAGGGUACAUAAAUAAAUGUGUUGUCACCAGUG